CUCUUAUCGAGAGUUGGCUGAGGGAUUUGGCCCUUUGACGCCCAGCAACCGACCGUCCGUAUACCAUUUUAUGGAAACCUCUUAGAAGGUGCAAGGCACGGUGCUACAUCCAACAGGUUAAAUCACCUGAGAGAUAAGAG
Molecule: non-coding RNA, 140 nt
Filed under: Shouchella lehensis G1
Lineage: Bacteria; Bacillati; Bacillota; Bacilli; Caryophanales; Bacillaceae
Description: Bacillus lehensis G1 SAM riboswitch aptamer (S box leader)
Rfam family: SAM riboswitch aptamer (S box leader)
About the family: The SAM riboswitch is found upstream of a number of genes which code for proteins involved in methionine or cysteine biosynthesis in Gram-positive bacteria. The SAM riboswitch acts at the level of transcription termination control. The predicted structure consists of a complex stem-loop region followed by a single stem loop terminator region.
Source: Rfam by way of RNAcentral